Long non-coding RNA from Prinia subflava (tawny-flanked prinia), 2678 nucleotides. RefSeq lists it as uncharacterized. The transcript has 3 exons. The record is from RefSeq and is a predicted model, not a curated record. Lineage: Eukaryota; Metazoa; Chordata; Aves; Passeriformes; Cisticolidae.
GUUAUAAUUCAAAGACACUUAUUACAGAAUAGCUUGAGAUUUAUAACAGGUAAUUGCAAAGUUUGUUCAAAAAAACCUUCUUCCAUGCUUUCCUCGGUUGUUUAUUAGAACUCAUCUUUGUAACUGUCCCAUGGCCGUGUUCUACAACUACAAUUACACGGAUUCUUUUUAUUUCCCUGACACGAAACACAACUUUGUAUUUCACACUACUGCUCUUAUGCCUUUAUUUUUUUUGUAUUAAUAAAAAAAAAAAUAAUAAUAAUAAUAAAAAAAAAAAGCCAAAAACCCCCACUUUUCGUUUUUUGGUGAGAAAGAAAAAAAAAGUUACAGCAGUUAUCGCUAAAAGCUGGUCCUCCUCAAUGAAAUAUUUUGCUGAAAGGUGUUUGGAGAAGCUCAAUGGGUAUCAGGGCAGGAUUGGAGGGAGUGUGAAUCUUAAACUUCCUGGGCUCAGAGGUGUAGGGCUGUGGGCUGGCUCCAAGCCAGAGUCUGCUAAGUGGCCAUCUCACCUCUUUUGUGGAAAAAAUACUCGCCAGAGGCAAGUCUGACACCUGUUUUUGGAGCUCUGUAUCUUGGUCCCCUCCUCUAUAGCUUAAAACCCUCUGCCAAGAGCAGACUUUGCUUCACAUGAUGUUAGAGAAGGGAGGACUAGGAAGCUUUUUAUUUCCUUGUUCCGCAUUUCUUUAUGCAGAAGUUUUGUUUGCUUUGGGUGACUGAGGGAAUUAGGGGCUUUUGGCAGGACAUUAUCCAGGGAAGGGGACUUCCAGAGAGAGUGAGUUAAGGAAGAAGAGAAGAGAAAAGAAAAGAAGAGAAGAGAAAAGAAGAGAAAAGAAGAGAAAAGAAGAGAAAAGAAGAGAAAAGAAGAGAAAAGAAGAGAAAAGAAGAGAAAAGAAGAGAAAAGAAGAGAAAAGAAGAGAAAAGAAGAGAAAAGAAGAGAAAAGAAGAGAAAAGAAGAUCUGUAGGAGAUGAAAAGCCCCUUCUAAAAAAGCCCCUCUCAAACCCAAGGUGCAGAGCUGCACUGCUGAACCCACACAACUCUGGGAUUUAUUCACUCUCUGUCCAGCCACAGGAGAACGUGGACUUCUGGCUGACACAUCCUGUGGCUUCAGGAUAUUUGGAUAAAGAAAAGGAUGAAAUUUCCUAUUGUAGAGGGACUAGACGGUGCAAACUUCACUGAAUAAUGGAGUAAAGAUUUGCUGAGAAGCUACAAAGAGCCUAACCCACCAACAGCUGAUAAGAUGGCUCUCGUGUUUUACACCAAAUUGAAUAUCUCAGUCCAGCAGAAGCUCUGAAAUGUGAAGAGUACUGCAAAAAUAUUCUGCACCAGCACAAGCUGGGGGUGACCUGCUGGGGAGAAGCUCUGUGGAGAAGGACCUGGGGGACCUGGUGGACAAUGAGCUGUCCCUGACCAGCAGAGGCCAAAGAGGCCAGUGGCAACCUGGGGACACAGGGAUGGGCAUUGCCAGCAGGGCAGGGCUGAUCCUGCCCCUGUGCCCAGCCCUGAGGCACCUCUGGGUGCUGUGCCCAGCCCUGGGGGCACCUCUGGGUGCUGUGCCCAGCCCUGGGGCACCUCUGGGUGCUGUGCCCAGCCCUGGGGCACCUCUGGGUGCUGGGCCCAGCCCUGGGGGCACCUCUGGGUGCUGUGCCCAGCCCUGAGGCACCUCUGGGUGCUGUGCCCAGCCCUGGCUCCUCAGCACAGCAGGGCCAGGAGCUCCUGGAGCUGAGCAAGGGCCUGGAGCAUCUCCGUGCCCAGGAGAGGCUGAGGGAGCUGGGGCUGCUCAGCCUGGAGAGGAGCCCCAGGGAGAGGGGCCUCAGCCCUGGGGGUCCCUGGGGGUCCCUGUCUGUCCCUGUGUCUGUCCCUUUCUGUCCCUGUCGGUCUGUCUGUCCCUGUCUGUCCCUGUCUGUCUAUCCCUGUCUGUCUGUCCCUGUGUCUGUCCCUGUGUCUGUCCCUGGGUGUCCCUGUGUCUGUCCCUGGGUGUCCCUGUGUGUGCCCCUGUCUGUCCCUGUGUCUGUCCUUGUCUGUCCCUGUGUGUCCCUGUGUCUGUCCCUGUCUGUCUGUCCCUGUGUCUGUCCCUGUGUGCAGGGAGGGCAGAGCAGCCCCAGGCUCUGCUCCAGGCCCAGCAAUGGCCCCAGAGCCACGGGCAGGGGCUGAGCCCAGCAAUUCCCCUGCACAGGGGCACAGCUUCUGCCCUGGGCAGUGCCAGCCCUGAGCAGAGCCCAGAGGGGCUGGGGACUCCUCCCUGGGGACAUUCCAGAGCCCUCUGGACACAGCCCUGUGUCCUGGGAUGGCCCUGCUGGAGCAGGGAGGUGGCACCAGUGACCCACUGUGGUCCCUCCCAGCCUGACCAUCCUGUGGUCUGGUGACAAUCUGGGAAAAGAGCCCCGCUGUGGAAGUUUGACACGGCUGUGGAGGGCAUCAGCAUCACCAAGGGACCUGAACUCAGUGUUGGGUUUUCUCAUUUCUGUCUGCCUCAGUCACACAGGUGAGCACGGCUGGGCUUACAGAACUGAACACAAAGGCACAGAUGCAAACAGCAACCUCUGUGAAAAACAGUCUCUGUCUGUUUUCAGGCUUCAGGACUGAAGCCUCUGUCUUCAGUCCUCCUGCAACCUGUGGGCAAGAUAUUCCCAGAGUUUUUGGGUUUGAUAUACAGACAAACAUAAAGUGAAAAUCAAACAAA